Manis pentadactyla (Chinese pangolin) is the source of this 767-nucleotide long non-coding RNA. RefSeq lists it as uncharacterized. The transcript has 3 exons. Lineage: Eukaryota; Metazoa; Chordata; Mammalia; Pholidota; Manidae. The record is from RefSeq and is a predicted model, not a curated record.
UCUAGUAUAUUAUUGUAUAGAAGUGAGAUUCUAGAGUCUAUAAAACUAACUUUAUGGUAAGAAAAGUCUUUUGUUUAUUUUCUAGGGUAUCCAUUAAUUUUAUUCUAUUAAAAUAUUAAUUUCUGCUUGAAAACAAUGUGGAAAAUUAAGAAUAAAACAAGUCCCACCAUACAAAUUUAAGCUUAUUUCCUUUCCAGUCACUUCUAGUCAUUUUUGCAUGCACAGAUUUUAAAAGCAUAUAGUUGUGGCAUAAGAAAAGCAACCAUUAUUUUAAUAUUGCAUAUAUAAAAGAUCACAGAGUGUACAAAUUUUAGUUUAAUUUCUACCUGUUUAUUGUUUGGAAAAUUAAAGAGUCUCCAUGAUUUAUAUUUUCCCUAUUAUGGUAUAUGGUAAAAUGAUAUAAAUUAAAAUUAAAAUCUUUGUUCAUAAAGCACAUUUUCUACAUUAUGGAUUAUUUCUUUUGAGUUUAUUCCUAUAAACAGAAUUCAAAAAGUUUUAAAUGUUUUUAAACACUUUAAGAUUUUUGAUAUUGCCAAAUUGCUUAUCUACCUAAAAAAAGUUAUGUGUGAGUGCUAUCACACAGCACCCUGGGCUGCCUUUAAUGCCAUUUUUAAAUUUUUGCCAACUUUACAUGUGAAAAAUUGUGGGUUCUUAUUUUACUUUGCACAUCUUUGAGCUUUUUGCAUUGUUAUUUGUUCCCUAAUUGUAUGCCCCACCUUUUUUUUUUUAAGUGGAUUAUAAUUAUUUUUUAUUGAAGGGUAGUUGAC